RNAcentral lists this long non-coding RNA (983 nucleotides) under Citrus sinensis (sweet orange). RNAcentral describes it as "long non-coding RNA (CSIN_LNC000121)". Lineage: Eukaryota; Viridiplantae; Streptophyta; Magnoliopsida; Sapindales; Rutaceae. The record is from RNAcentral.
CUCUGGAUCAUAACCACAAAAUCGUCUUCUCUCUCCCUUUGGGUCAUAAAACAAAAGCCUCCUCUCUCCCUCUCGAUCGCCCACACCUUGCCUUGCUCUUGCUCUUUCUCACUCUCCUGCUCUUGCUCACACUCCCGUUCAUGCUUCUACUCUUACUGUUGCUCUUGCUCUUGGUCCAAACUCACACUCACGCUCUACCUCGCUCUCACUCUUGCUCUUACUCCCGACUCUCACUUUCGCUCUUCUCAUUAAGGUUACUCAGCUUUAAACUUAAUCUUAUAAUUAUCAAAGUUAUUAGAUUUGUGUAUGGAGAAAAUGAUUUGUUAAUGAUAUAGUGUAGAAAUAUAAUGCACACACAAUGUUGAUGAAAUGCCACAAAAAAUUAUUUGGUUUCUUCUUUUAAGGUUCUAGGUUGCCUUCUUUUUGUUUGAAAAAAUGUUGCACCUGUGUUUUUUUUUUAAUAAUAAUUUUAUAAUGAAUAGAAAUUAGAUUUGGUCGUUUGAGUGUGGUAGUUUUGUGUGGGUUGGUGUAUAAAUUCAUGUGGUGCGAUAGACAUCAUGCGUGCCUUUGUUUAGAUGCUUAUCGAUUGAUAUCUAUUGCACCUAUGGGCUAUGCUCUGGUGCGAUAGACACCUGUCGCACUAAACACAAAUGUGAUGGACAGUAAUUGUGUUCUUUAUUAACUGCUUUCUUGUAACUUUUACAGAAAGACAUGGAAUCUAUUGAUGGCAAGACAAAAAAAUCGAAAGAAAAAUCAAUAUGACAGAAAAAGCAAGGAAUGGAUAAAAAAUCAUGGAUAUACUAUUUGAAAAUAUAAAUUAUAUGUAUUUAUAUACCCAUUAUAUUUAAAGGUUUAAUUUUUUUUAUUAAUGUAACUUUCAAUAUUAAUUACAGUAAGGCAGAAACUAAACGACUAAGGUUAUUAAGGGUUGAAAAGGUGGAUAAAACUAUAUGUAAUCUAAUUAUGACCUUCUAGAUAUUUCA